AUACGGAGGGGGCAAGCGUUGUUCGGAAUUAUUGGGCGUAAAGAGUAUGUAGGCGGUUAGAUAAGUCAGGCGUGUAAGCCCACGGCUCAACCGUGGAAUUGCGUUUGAAACUGUUUGACUUGAGUUCAGAAGAGGAAAGUGGAAUUCCCAGUGUAGCGGUGAAAUGCAUUGAUAUUGGGAAGAACAUCGGUGGCGAAGGCGGCUUUCUGGUCUGAUACUGACGCUGAGAUACGAAAGCCAGGGGAGCAAACGGGAUUAGAUACCCCAGUAGUCC
RNAcentral lists this ribosomal RNA (274 nucleotides) under uncultured bacterium. RNAcentral's name for it is "partial 16S ribosomal RNA". It matches the Rfam family "Bacterial small subunit ribosomal RNA", at positions 523 to 796 of the family's 1533-position model. The record is from RNAcentral.